RNAcentral lists this ribosomal RNA (483 nucleotides) under uncultured bacterium. RNAcentral's name for it is "bacterial SSU rRNA". It matches the Rfam family "Bacterial small subunit ribosomal RNA", at positions 28 to 507 of the family's 1533-position model. The record is from RNAcentral.
GAUAAACGCUGGCGGCAUGCCUAAUACAUGCAAGUGGAACGAUUUACUUCGGUAAGUCGUCGCGAACGGGUGAGUAACACGUAGAUAACCUGCCUUAUAGAGGGGGAUAACCAUUGGAAACGAUGGAUAAUACCGCAUAAAUACCUCCUAGGCAUCUAGGAGAGUAGAAAGGAGCAAUUGCUUCGCUAUGAGAUGGAUCUGCGGCGCAUUAGCUAGUUGGUGAGGUAACGGCCCACCAAGGCGAUGAUGCGUAGCCGGCCUGAGAGGGUGAACGGCCACAUUGGGACUGAGACACGGCCCAGACUCCUACGGGAGGCAGCAGUAGGGAAUUUUCGGCAAUGGGGGGAACCCUGACCGAGCAAUGCCGCGUGAAGGAUGAAGGUUUUCGGAUUGUAAACUUCUGUUGUAUAGGAAGAAAGGUAAGUGGAGUGGAAAGCCACUUAAUUGACGGUACUAUACUAGAAAGCCACGGCUAACUACGUG